Molecule: unclassified non-coding RNA, 179 nt
Filed under: uncultured fungus
Lineage: Eukaryota; Fungi
Description: sequence contains ITS1
Source: RNAcentral
UUGUUCGAUUUACUCGUUUACUCCGACGCAGAGAUGCAGGGUUGGGUCCCCCGGGGGCGCCGGCGCCGCGGACGGCGGGGUCGCCCCCGAAGCAACGCGAUGCGUUCACACAGGGUUGGAGGUCGGGCCGCGAGGGCCCUCACUCGGUAAUGAUCCCUCCGCAGGUUCACCUACGGAGA